RNAcentral lists this long non-coding RNA (562 nucleotides) under Homo sapiens (human). RNAcentral describes it as "HSALNT0130848". Lineage: Eukaryota; Metazoa; Chordata; Mammalia; Primates; Hominidae. The record is from RNAcentral.
CUUUCCUUCCUCUUCUCUUCCUCCUCCGUGGAGAAUCGUACCAAUUAAUCACUGGAGGCAGACAACCACUAGAGCUCACGAUCCCUGCCUCUCCCUUCAUGAUGUGAAUGAGGAGAGCUCCUGGAGCUGGGAACGGCACCAUGGAAACGAGCUCUGGGGCAGAGGCGGCAGUCUGGACACCGUCCCAGCCUCCCCAACCCGUCUCACUGGCACCUGACACCCAGAGGGCCUGCCGGGGUGGCGUCAGAUGAUGUGUUGAGUCAACAGAACCCCAGGAGAGCCCUGGUUGGAGUCCCAUGGCAGCCGGCUGCAGCCAGCACCCCAGGAAGGGAGUGUCUGCCACCGGCUGCAGCCGCCACCUGGCCUCCUGGGAGACCUGGCGGGAAGGGGAAAGCCGGGCAGGAACCACACUCACAGACGGUCUCCCCAUCCCCGCCUCUGCCGCCUUCUCCUGCUUCGCUGUACGUGGCUCUCCAAAGUGGAGGUUUGGGAAUGUGCUUCUGUGGCCCAUACCCCACGUGGCCCACACCCCAUCGUGCCAGCCACAUUUUCUCCUAUUCAG